UAGAAUGUAGUGUAAAGGAAACACAGAGGAUUUUGAGUUCUCAGAUAUGGGUUCAAGUCCUAUUGUUCUAG
This 71-nucleotide transfer RNA is filed under the name Acrobates pygmaeus. Its description in RNAcentral is "tRNA-Gln". It matches the Rfam family "tRNA". Rfam says of the family: Transfer RNA (tRNA) molecules are approximately 80 nucleotides in length. Their secondary structure includes four short double-helical elements and three loops (D, anti-codon, and T loops). The record is from RNAcentral. Lineage: Eukaryota; Metazoa; Chordata; Mammalia; Diprotodontia; Acrobatidae.